CCUACGGGUGGCAGCAGUGGGGGAUAUUGCACAAUGGGGGGAACCCUGAUGCAGCGACGCCGCGUGGGCGAUGGAGGGCUUCGGCAUGGAAAGCCCUAUCAGCAGGGAAGAAAAUGACGGUACCUGACGAAGAAGCCGAGGCGAAAUACGUGCCAGCAGCCGCGGGAAGACGUAUGGGGCGAGCGUUAUCCGGAUUUACUGGGGGUAAAGGGAGCGUAGGCGGCCUGGCCAGCCGGAUGUGAAAUAGCGGGGCCCAACCCCGUGACGGCCUGUGGAACUGCCAGGCUUGAGUGCCGGAGAGGCAUGCGGAAUUCCUAGUGUAGCGGUGCAAUGCGUAGAUAUUACG
This 346-nucleotide ribosomal RNA is filed under the name uncultured bacterium. RNAcentral's name for it is "partial 16S ribosomal RNA". It matches the Rfam family "Bacterial small subunit ribosomal RNA", at positions 338 to 701 of the family's 1533-position model. The record is from RNAcentral.